AAGGAAGUAACAGAAAAUAGUAAGCACUGCUAAUCCUUACGCACCAUGGUUAAAAUCCAUGGCUUCCUUG
This 70-nucleotide transfer RNA is filed under the name Catlocarpio siamensis (giant barb). Its description in RNAcentral is "tRNA-Ser". Lineage: Eukaryota; Metazoa; Chordata; Actinopteri; Cypriniformes; Cyprinidae. The record is from RNAcentral.